Lolium rigidum is the source of this 705-nucleotide long non-coding RNA. RefSeq lists it as uncharacterized. The transcript is spliced from 2 exons. The record is from RefSeq and is a predicted model, not a curated record. Lineage: Eukaryota; Viridiplantae; Streptophyta; Magnoliopsida; Poales; Poaceae.
AUCUGCAAGGGCCGGCGGCGCGGCGGCGCGGGCUGACGGACGGCAGCGCGUAGCCAGUUGAGCAGAUCAGGGCGUGCUUCUCCCUCCCUCUCCCCUCUCCAACCGGCGGCAAAGCGACCAACCGAGCAGCGCAAGGUAAACCCGGAGAUCCCAAUUCCGUCCGUGCCCAGCGAUGCCCUGAGACGUCAUCUCCGGCACCCUCUCCAUCUCCGGCUGCUUCGCACUGCUGAAGAUAAUGUCAUGUUCACUUCAAAUGAUGAAGCACAUUUUUCUUUCAAUGGCACAAGAUUCAGUUCAAAUUUUCAUUCACUAUUGACUGCGCAAGAGGAUCUCAAUCACGAGACGAUGAAGAUCCCGAUCAGCAAGAUCACAUUAGGAGGCGAUGAUGAUCAUGCUCAGGAGGCGAUGAGGAAGAUCGCCUGAGUUGCGAGCAGCAGGUUGGAGGCGAUGAGGAUCUUGACCUCCUGCUCUCGACGGCGGGGCGGGACGGGACGGCUGAGCAGCGGUGAGGUGGGGCCAGCAGUAGUACCAUGUUCCGUGUUUGCCCGUCGCCAGCUAUGAGGAAUUGAACAGAACAUGCAAUUGUAUAGUACACGUGCGGGUGUGUGUGUGAUGAUGACGUGUUCGAAUUUACAGUAUUUUAAGAAAAAUAGAAGUGUAAUUUUGUACGCCGAUGAAUUUAUCUAAAAGCAGAACAUUAAUUCA